ACACACAGGAAGAAAUCUAUCCAUAGUUGCAGAGACAGCUACUGCUCCCUGCCAACAACGUCUGCCUUCUGUCUGGGCUGGGCUGCUAACCCAAAGAGGAGACAAAACGCCGCCGCCGCCCACCAGUAGUGCUGAGGUUUGCAGCAAGGAGUCAGCAAAAGGCAGGGAGAACCAACCUAAAAAGCCUCGCGACUGUGCCGCAGAGGGGAUACAGAGUCGGGAGGCGCAGGCAGACAAGCUGAUGGCACGAAACAAAACAGGGCAAACAGCAAUGUGAGCGGUGGCCGCGGAAGCCAGACGCAUAACAGCGGCGGCAGCAACGGCAUUGACCCGGAGGAUGCUGAGGGUGGCCAGAAACACGGAGCUUGCCCCUUCGUUGGCGGGGACAGCAAUGGCGGCUCACCGGGCCCAUGAAAAAGGCAGUCAUAGCUUAGAUAGCUCCCAGCCUGACAAAAGCCGCCGGUAUUUUAACUUCAGAUAGGCGAACAUGGGAGGCACUCGAGGGGUGGGGACCCCAGAGCUUCAGGUAGAAUUUCAGGUAACAUGGAAAACACGGGAAAAUAGCUCUGGCCACGCGACCGCAGCAUCAUGGCGCACCCCUUCAAGCCCCGCCUCCUGGCCUUCCUCUGGCUUCCUCUUGGUCCCUCCCGCCCAUCCCUAGGGCGGGACUUCCGCCCGCCCUCCAGCAUUGCGGAACCUGUAUCUCACAGCAUUGCUAUUUCUCACAAGCAAACACCCAGCUAGAAGUUUUUCUUUCGUUGACGAGGGAUU
RNAcentral lists this long non-coding RNA (771 nucleotides) under Marmota monax (woodchuck). The record is from RNAcentral. Lineage: Eukaryota; Metazoa; Chordata; Mammalia; Rodentia; Sciuridae.